Molecule: ribosomal RNA, 710 nt
Filed under: uncultured Bacilli bacterium
Lineage: Bacteria; Bacillati; Bacillota; Bacilli
Description: bacterial SSU rRNA
Rfam family: Bacterial small subunit ribosomal RNA
Source: RNAcentral
UGCCUAAUACAUGCAAGUCGAGCGAGCGGAACCAACAGAUUUACUUCGGUAAUGACGUUGGGAAAGCGAGCGGCGGAUGGGUGAGUAACACGUGGGGAACCUGCCCCUAAGUCUGGGAUACCAUUUGGAAACAGGUGCUAAUACCGGAUAAUAAAGCAGAUCGCAUGAUCAGCUUUUGAAAGGCGGCGUAAGCUGUCGCUAAGGGAUGGCCCCGCGGUGCAUUAGCUAGUUGGUAAGGUAACGGCUUACCAAGGCGACGAUGCAUAGCCGAGUUGAGAGACUGAUCGGCCACAUUGGGACUGAGACACGGCCCAAACUCCUACGGGAGGCAGCAGUAGGGAAUCUUCCACAAUGGACGCAAGUCUGAUGGAGCAACGCCGCGUGAGUGAAGAAGGUUUUCGGAUCGUAAAGCUCUGUUGUUGGUGAAGAAGGAUAGAGGUAGUAACUGGCCUUUAUUUGACGGUAAUCAACCAGAAAGUCACGGCUAACUACGUGCCAGCAGCCGCGGUAAUACGUAGGUGGCAAGCGUUGUCCGGAUUUAUUGGGCGUAAAGCGAGCGCAGGCGGAAAAAUAAGUCUAAUGUGAAAGCCCUCGGCUUAACCGAGGAACUGCAUCGGAAACUGUUUUUCUUGAGUGCAGAAGAGGAGAGUGGAACUCCAUGUGUAGCGGUGGAAUGCGUAGAUAUAUGGAAGAACACCAGUGGCGAAGGC